GUGCUCUCUUUGGCAGUAUAUAUACUAAAGUUGGAACCAUAUAGAGAAGAUUAGCAUGGUCCCUGUGUAAGGAUGACACAUAAAUUCAUGAAACGUUCCAUAAAAAA
Vulpes vulpes (red fox) is the source of this 107-nucleotide small nuclear RNA. NCBI's taxonomy places the organism in Eukaryota, Metazoa, Chordata, Mammalia, Carnivora, Canidae. The record is from Ensembl.